GUGAAUCAUCGAAUUUUUGAACGCAAAUUGCACUCUCUGGUAUUCCGGAAAGUAUGCCUGUUUGAGGGUCAGUUAAAUCAAAAUCGGUGUUGUUGCGGCUAUUAUUGGGGAUGGAUCGGGGUUGGGUUUGCUUUGCCCUUUGGUAUACGUGACUUAAAAUUUGUACGAUUUUGGAACGUUUUUAAAUUAUGUACGUACUUUCGUAAACUCAUAUAUGAGGUUCGGU
This 226-nucleotide unclassified non-coding RNA is filed under the name Glomus sp. RNAcentral describes it as "partial contains 5.8S ribosomal RNA and internal transcribed spacer 2". The stretch from base 1 to 71 matches the Rfam family "5.8S ribosomal RNA", at positions 84 to 154 of the family's 154-position model. Lineage: Eukaryota; Fungi; Glomeromycota; Glomeromycetes; Glomerales; Glomeraceae. The record is from RNAcentral.